This 275-nucleotide ribosomal RNA is filed under the name Proteus mirabilis. RNAcentral's name for it is "partial 23S ribosomal RNA". It matches the Rfam family "Bacterial large subunit ribosomal RNA", at positions 2674 to 2925 of the family's 2925-position model. The record is from RNAcentral. Lineage: Bacteria; Pseudomonadati; Pseudomonadota; Gammaproteobacteria; Enterobacterales; Morganellaceae.
GCUCCUAGUACGAGAGGACCGGAGUGAACGCACCACUGGUGUUCGGGUUGUCAUGCCAAUGGCAUUGCCCGGUAGCUAAGUGCGGAAGAGAUAACCGCUGAAAGCAUCUAAGCGGGAAACUUGCCUCGAGAUGAGUCUUCCCUGUCGCUUAAAGCGACCUAAAGGAACGUUUAAGACGAAGACGUUGAUAGGCUGGGUGUGUAAGCGUAGCGAUACGUUGAGCUAACCAGUACUAAUGAACCGUGAGGCUUAACCUGACAACACCGAAGGUGUUU